AGCUGUUCCCCUCUGGAGGUUUUGACCUUCAAACUUGUCAGGCCGCGGAGACAUCCUGCGGCCUUCUUUUUUGGGACC
Molecule: unclassified non-coding RNA, 78 nt
Filed under: Agrobacterium tumefaciens str. Kerr 14
Lineage: Bacteria; Pseudomonadati; Pseudomonadota; Alphaproteobacteria; Hyphomicrobiales; Rhizobiaceae
Description: suhB
Rfam family: Alphaproteobacterial ar15 (bases 1-69)
Source: RNAcentral